UGGUUCUGGCAUCGAUGAAGAACGCAGCGAAAUGCGAUAAGUAAUGCGAAUUGCAGAAUUUCAGUGAGUCAUCGAAUCUUUGAACGCACAUUGCGCCCUUUGGUAUUCCGAAGGGCAUGCCUGUUCGAGCGUCAUUAACACCUCUCAAGCCUGGCUUGAUGUUGGAUUCUGCCCGGAUUCCGGUCCUGGGCUGGUCCCAAAAGUAAUGACGGCGUCCAUGGGGACCCUCAGUGCAACGAGCUUUCACCGAAGCACGCAUUGAGUUGCAAGGUCACCUGGCACGGUCGAUACCUUUUUUUUCUAAGGUUGACCUCGGAUCAGGUAGGAAUACCCGCUGA
Molecule: unclassified non-coding RNA, 338 nt
Filed under: uncultured fungus
Lineage: Eukaryota; Fungi
Description: partial contains 5.8S ribosomal RNA and internal transcribed spacer 2
Rfam family: 5.8S ribosomal RNA (bases 1-134)
Source: RNAcentral